Apis dorsata (giant honeybee) is the source of this 472-nucleotide long non-coding RNA. RefSeq lists it as uncharacterized. The transcript is spliced from 2 exons. NCBI's taxonomy places the organism in Eukaryota, Metazoa, Arthropoda, Insecta, Hymenoptera, Apidae. The record is from RefSeq and is a predicted model, not a curated record.
AUUAUUUCGAUUUUAUUCAUGAUAAAAAAAUUACAUUUAAAUGAUAAAAAUCUUUAAUUUUUAAUAACUUGCUUAAUUUUUUUUUAAUCUGCGCUUCUAUUGAUUUGCUAAUUAUUCCUAACAAACGUAUCAAGCGCACCUGCAUUAGAUAAGACGAUGGAAUUUUACUGGAUAUGCUUCGUAUACCCGAGACAGCAGAAGCCAACCGAGACGAUAUCGAUGAUACCAGUCAGUUAGUUGGUCGCUGGUGAAUCGGCUUCUCAUUCAAAAAAUUCAAUAUGCAUGUCUUCGGUGUCAAGCAGAGAGCAAAAAAGAUGAUAGCCGACAGGACUGUGUCGUCGUCUGGGGAGAAUGCAAUCAUUCAUUUCAUUAUUGUUGCAUGUCACUUUGGGUGCAACAGAAUAAUCGUUGUCCAUUAUGCCAGCAAGAAUGGUCCAUUCAACGAAUGGGAAAAUAACUAAAUCAAUCAAGC